GACUCCCUAUGCCUGCGCAGCUGAAGAAGUCAGAGACUUGAUCUCUCCGCCAUGUUGGAUCUCAAGACCUUUUUUGUGCAGGUUUUGCAUGCUGCCUGCAGCUCUCCUCAGCAGGAACUCUGUGGUCCAGACAUCUCUGUUGCCUUGGAGUCUCCGGGCAGGUCUGCUUCACUCUCACACUCCAUCAAGGUGAUCUGAGAAUCCAAGAAGCUGAUCUUCUCUUCACUCUGUACUGGAAGGAAUACUAUGAGGACACCUGGCCUGGAUCACCAUAUUUCCAUUCAGGUCAUCAGCUAGAACAGGAAAGGAAAGAUGUCUUCAUUGAAUAAGUGGUAAAAAGAAGUCUUUCUGAGGCAAAAUGGUUGGGACUACCAACUGGCAUUAUGUGCCACUGCCCUUCUAUCAGAGCAAGGUGAAACUGGCAGCAUAAUGGGAGAAAAGGUUUGCAUGUUAUCUAUUUUUAAAAAGUGUGAUGGCAAAGACACCAGGCUUCAGAAGAUCUGAGAAAAUCAUAUACAAUAAUUUGCCCACAUAAAGGACUUUAGAAGCAACCUUGAAAGCCACUGUUGAACAUGACAGAAUUUCCAUCAGCUUGGAAUCCUGAAAGUAUGUAUGGGGAAGAUGUAGCCUCUUGCACAGGACUAACACACAUUCAAGAAACAGACUUCAUCUCAUGUCAGCCAGUAUAUAUUGGAGAAUUCAUUUGUUACUUCACUUAUUUAGCCGCAUUUGUAGAAAAUUUUCUCUAUGCAAUAGUAAAUUUUCAUUUAAUGGUCAUGAGAUAAUUGAUUUUGGCUAAAUUCUUACUAUAAAAUCCUCACUAAAAUAUUGGUUUUAAAUGUUGAACAAAAAUAAA
Molecule: long non-coding RNA, 856 nt
Organism: Urocitellus parryii (Arctic ground squirrel)
Lineage: Eukaryota; Metazoa; Chordata; Mammalia; Rodentia; Sciuridae
Source: RefSeq, a predicted model, not a curated record